GCCCUUAGAGUUUGAUCCUGGCUCAGAACGAACGCUGGCGGCGUGCUUAACACAUGCAAGUCGUACGAGAAACCGGAACUUCGGUUCCGGGAGUAAAGUGGCGCACGGGUGAGUAACGCGUGGGUAAUCUACCCUUGGGUUUGGAAUAACCCCGCCGAAAGGCGGACUAAUACCGGAUAAAAUCUUUCAGAGGGAUCUGAAAGAUCAAAGGUGGCCUCUCCAUGGAUGCUACUGCCUGAGGAUGAGCCUGCGUCCCAUUAGCUUGUUGGUAGGGUAAUGGCCUACCAAGGCUACGAUGGGUAGCUGGUCUGAGAGGAUGACCAGCCACACUGGAACUGGAACACGGUCCAGACUCCUACGGGAGGCAGCAGUGAGGAAUAUUGCGCAAUGGGGGAAACCCUGACGCAGCGACGCCGCGUGGGUGAAGAAGGCCUUCGGGUCGUAAAGCCCUGUCUAGAGGGAAGAAAUUCUCAAUGGAAUAAUACCCAUUGAGAUUGACGGUACCUCUGGAGGAAGCACCGGCUAACUCCGUGCCAGCAGCCGCGGUAAUACGGAGGGUGCGAGCGUUGUUCGGAAUUACUGGGCGUAAAGCGGGUGUAGGCGGUUUGUUAAGUCAGAUGUGAAAGCCCACGGCUCAACCGUGGAAGUGCAUCUGAAACUGGCAGACUUGAGUACCGGAGAGGGAAGUGGAAUUCCUGGUGUAGGGGUGAAAUCCGUAGAUAUCAGGAGGAACACCGGUGGCGAAGGCGACUUCCUGGACGGAUACUGACGCUGAGAUCCGAAAGCGUGGGGAGCAAACAGGAUUAGAUACCCUGGUAGUCCACGCCCUAAACGAUGGGCACUAGGUGCAGGGGGUGUUGACCCCUCCUGUGCCGCAGCUAACGCAUUAAGUGCCCCGCCUGGGGAGUACGGCCGCAAGGUUGAAACUCAAAGGAAUUGACGGGGGCCCGCACAAGCGGUGGAGCAUGUGGUUCAAUUCGACGCAACGCGAAGAACCUUACCGGGACUUGACAUUAUCUUGCCCGUCUAAGAAAUUAGAUCUUCUUCCUUUUGGAAGACGAGAUAACAGGUGGUGCAUGGUUGUCGUCAGCUCGUGUCGUGAGAUGUUGGGUUAAGUCCCACAACGAGCGCAACCCUUAUGCUUAGUUGCUAACUUGUUUUACAAGUGCACUCUAAGCAGACUGCCGCAGAUAAUGCGGAGGAAGGUGGGGAUGACGUCAAAUCAUCAUGCCCCUUACGUCCCGGGCUACACACGUGCUACAAUGGUCUGUACAGAGGGUAGCGAAAGAGCGAUCUUAAGCCAAUCCCAAAAAGCAGGCCCCAGUUCGGAUUGGAGGCUGCAACUCGCCUCCAUGAAGUAGGAAUCGC
RNAcentral lists this ribosomal RNA (1368 nucleotides) under uncultured delta proteobacterium. RNAcentral describes it as "bacterial SSU rRNA". It matches the Rfam family "Bacterial small subunit ribosomal RNA", at positions 1 to 1335 of the family's 1533-position model. The record is from RNAcentral. Lineage: Bacteria; Deltaproteobacteria.